Molecule: ribosomal RNA, 251 nt
Filed under: uncultured bacterium
Lineage: Bacteria
Description: partial 16S ribosomal RNA
Rfam family: Bacterial small subunit ribosomal RNA
Source: RNAcentral
UACGGAGGGUGCAAGCGUUAUCCGGAUUUACUGGGUUUAAAGGGUGCGUAGGUGGGUCUGUAAGUCAGUGGUGAAAUCUCCGAGCUUAACUCGGAAACUGCCAUUGAUACUAUAGGUCUUGAAUCAUCUGGAGGUAAGCGGAAUAUGUCAUGUAGCGGUGAAAUGCUUAGAUAUGACAUAGAACACCAAUUGCGAAGGCAGCUUACUACGGAUGUAUGACACUGAGGCACGAAAGCGUGGGAGCAAACAGG